ACAGUCACACAUUAGACUACCCCGGUAGUCCCAGCCGUAAACUAUGCGCGUUAGGUGUAUCGGUGACCACGAGUCACCGAGGUGCCGAAGGGAAACCGUGAAACGUGCCGCCUGGGAAGUACGGUCGCAAGGCUGAAACUUAAAGGAAUUGGCGGGGAGCACCACAACGGGUGGAGCCUGCGGUUUAAUUGGACUCAACGCCGGGAAGCUCACCGGAUAAGACAGCGGAAUGAUUGCCGGGCUGAAGACUCUGCAUGACUAGCUG
Molecule: ribosomal RNA, 265 nt
Filed under: uncultured archaeon
Lineage: Archaea
Description: partial 16S ribosomal RNA
Rfam family: Archaeal small subunit ribosomal RNA
Source: RNAcentral